This is an RNA transcript of Brassica napus (rape), 1036 nucleotides long. It is a transcript of the gene named lactoylglutathione lyase, with no coding region annotated. The record is from RefSeq and is a predicted model, not a curated record. NCBI's taxonomy places the organism in Eukaryota, Viridiplantae, Streptophyta, Magnoliopsida, Brassicales, Brassicaceae. The transcript has 9 exons.
UUCAUCGUACAUCGGUAAAAAAAAAAAUCUCUCCUUUUUCAUUACUUUUUUUUUUCUCAAAUAAUUUUGAGAAGCCAAGGAAACGUAAUGGGUUCGUACUCAAUAGCAAGUACUAUAUCUCGAAUUGCGACUCUAACCCGUUUCGUUAAACCUUAUUCCAUCGAUUUUUCUUACAUCAAUUGCCCUUGCAACAGAGCUCACAGGCCAAAGAGAUUUGAUCAGCUUCGUGUGUUCUCUAUGGCGUCGGAAGCGAAGGAAUCAGCAGCAAACAACCCUGGCUUGUCAACGGUUCGGGAUGAGGCUACCAAAGGGUAUAUCAUGCAGCAGACUAUGUUUCGGGUGAAGGACCCUAAGGCUAGUCUUGACUUUUACUCACGUGUCCUGGGAAUGUCAUUGCUCAAGAGGCUAGAUUUCUCUGAGAUGAAGUUCAGCUUGUACUUCCUGGGCUACGAGGAUACUUCGACAGCUCCAACAGAUCCUACUGAGAGAACUGUUUGGACCUUUGGUCGACCUGCAACAAUUGAGCUGACUCACAACUGGGGCACAGAGAGUGAUCCUGAGUUUAAAGGCUAUCAUAAUGGAAACUCCGAGCCUCGUGGAUUUGGGCAUAUUGGGGUUACAGUUGAUGAUGUGCACAAGGCAUGCGAGAGAUUUGAACAACUGGGAGUAGAGUUCGUCAAGAAACCGAAUGAUGGAAAGAUGAAGAAUAUAGCCUUCAUCAAGGAUCCUGAUGGCUACUGGAUCGAGAUCUUUGAUCUCAAGACUAUCGGGACAACAGCCGGAAACGCAGCUUGAAGUAGUUCCACUUGUGCUGUUUGUGUUCUUGUGUUCAUUCCACCUGAGUUUGAAAUUCAAAUAAAGAUGUUUCCUGUCUCAACGAAUAAGAGAAAAUGACAUUAUUCUCAAUGUGGUCUGUUUCUUGGUCUUUACAAUGAGUUGAGUUAAAUAAGUUGUUAUCAAUGAGAAUCAAUGUUCUACUUGUUUCUUGAUAUAUUUUGAUUGUUAUUUGGUACAAGAAUGAACUAACCAUUAUACA